Molecule: ribosomal RNA, 445 nt
Filed under: uncultured bacterium
Lineage: Bacteria
Description: partial 16S ribosomal RNA
Rfam family: Bacterial small subunit ribosomal RNA
Source: RNAcentral
GUGAGGAAUAUUGCGCAAUGGAGGCAACUCUGACGCAGCCAUGCCGCGUGCAGGAAGAAGGCGCUACGCGUUGUAAACUGCUUUUAACCGGGAAGAAACCCCAGGACGUGUCCUGGGUUGACGGUACCGGAGGAAUAAGCACCGGCUAACUUCGUGCCAGCAGCCGCGGGAAUACGAAGGGUGCAAGCGUUAUCCGGAUUCAUUGGGUUUAAAGGGUGCGUAGGCGGAGCGUUAAGUCAGUGGUGAAAUCCUGCAGCUUAACUGUAGACUUGCCAUUGAUACUGGCGCUCUUGAGUGCGCUUGAAGUGGGCGGAAUGUGCCGUGUAGCGGUGAAAUGCUUAGAGAUGGCACAGAACACCAAUUGCGAAGGCAGCUCACUAAGGCGAUACUGACGCUGAGGCACGAAAGCGUGGGGAUCGAACAGGAUUAGAUACCCCGGUAGUCC